GGGUUGUGAGGUUAAGCGACUAAGCGUACACGGUGGAUGCCCUGGCAGUCAGAGGCGAUGAAGGACGUGCUAAUCUGCGAAAAGCGUCGGUAAGGUGAUAUGAACCGUUAUAACCGGCGAUGUCCGAAUGGGGAAACCCAGUGCAAUUCGUUGCACUAUCGUUAACUGAAUACAUAGGUUAACGAGGCGAACCGGGGGAACUGAAACAUCUAAGUACCCCGAGGAAAAGAAAUCAACCGAGAUUCCCCCAGUAGCGGCGAGCGAACGGGGAGCAGCCCAGAGUCUGAAUCAGCUUGUGUGUUAGUGGAACGGUCUGGAAAGUCCGACGGUACAGGGUGAUAGUCCCGUACACCAAAAUGCACAGGCUGUGAACUCGAAGAGUAGGGCGGGACACGUGGUAUCCUGUCUGAAUAUGGGGGGACCAUCCUCCAAGGCUAAAUACUCCUGACUGACCGAUAGUGAACCAGUACCGUGAGGGAAAGGCGAAAAGAACCCCGGCGAGGGGAGUGAAAAAGAACCUGAAACCGUGUACGUACAAGCAGUGGGAGCACCUUCGGGUGUGACUGCGUACCUUUUGUAUAAUGGGUCAGCGACUUAUAUUCUGUAGCAAGGUUAACCGUAUAGGGGAGCCGCAGGGAAACCGAGUCUUAACUGGGCGUUAAGUUGCAGGGUAUAGACCCGAAACCCGGUGAUCUAGCCAUGGGCAGGUUGAAGGUUGGGUAACACUAACUGGAGGACCGAACCGACUAAUGUUGAAAAAUUAGCGGAUGACUUGUGGCUGGGGGUGAAAGGCCAAUCAAACCGGGAGAUAGCUGGUUCUCCCCGAAAGCUAUUUAGGUAGCGCCUCGUGAACUCAUCUUCGGGGGUAGAGCACUGUUUCGGCUAGGGGGUCAUCCCGACUUACCAACCCGAUGCAAACUACGAAUACCGAAGAAUGUUAUCACGGGAGACACACGGCGGGUGCUAACGUCCGUCGUGAAGAGGGAAACAACCCAGACCGCCAGCUAAGGUCCCAAAGUCAUGGUUAAGUGGGAAACGAUGUGGGAAGGCACAGACAGCCAGGAUGUUGGCUUAGAAGCAGCCAUCAUUUAAAGAAAGCGUAAUAGCUCACUGGUCGAGUCGGCCUGCGCGGAAGAUGUAACGGGGCUAAACCAUGCACCGAAGCUGCGGCAGCGACACUAUGUGUUGUUGGGUAGGGGAGCGUUCUGUAAGCCUGCGAAGGUGUGCUGUGAGGCAUGCUGGAGGUAUCAGAAGUGCGAAUGCUGACAUAAGUAACGAUAAAGCGGGUGAAAAGCCCGCUCGCCGGAAGACCAAGGGUUCCUGUCCAACGUUAAUCGGGGCAGGGUGAGUCGACCCCUAAGGCGAGGCCGAAAGGCGUAGUCGAUGGGAAACAGGUUAAUAUUCCUGUACUUGGUGUUACUGCGAAGGGGGGACGGAGAAGGCUAUGUUAGCCGGGCGACGGUUGUCCCGGUUUAAGCAUGUAGGCUGGUUGUCCAGGCAAAUCCGGAUAAUCAAGGCUGAGGUGUGAUGACGAGGCACUACGGUGCUGAAGUAACAAAUGCCCUGCUUCCAGGAAAAGCCUCUAAGCAUCAGGUAACAUCAAAUCGUACCCCAAACCGACACAGGUGGUCAGGUAGAGAAUACCAAGGCGCUUGAGAGAACUCGGGUGAAGGAACUAGGCAAAAUGGUGCCGUAACUUCGGGAGAAGGCACGCUGGUGUGUAGGUGAAGUCCCUGCGGAUGGAGCUGAGACCAGUCGAAGAUACCAGCUGGCUGCAACUGUUUAUUAAAAACACAGCACUGUGCAAACACGAAAGUGGACGUAUACGGUGUGACGCCUGCCCGGUGCCGGAAGGUUAAUUGAUGGGGUUAUCCGUAAGGAGAAGCUCUUGAUCGAAGCCCCGGUAAACGGCGGCCGUAACUAUAACGGUCCUAAGGUAGCGAAAUUCCUUGUCGGGUAAGUUCCGACCUGCACGAAUGGCGUAAUGAUGGCCAGGCUGUCUCCACCCGAGACUCAGUGAAAUUGAACUCGCUGUGAAGAUGCAGUGUACCCGCGGCAAGACGGAAAGACCCCGUGAACCUUUACUAUAGCUUGACACUGAACAUUGAGCCUUGAUGUGUAGGAUAGGUGGGAGGCUUUGAAGCGUGGACGCCAGUCUGCGUGGAGCCAACCUUGAAAUACCACCCUUUAAUGUUUGAUGUUCUAACGUUGGCCCCUGACCGGGGUUGCGGACAGUGUCUGGUGGGUAGUUUGACUGGGGCGGUCUCCUCCCAAAGCGUAACGGAGGAGCACGAAGGUUAGCUAAUCCUGGUCGGACAUCAGGAGGUUAGUGCAAUGGCAUAAGCUAGCUUGACUGCGAGCGUGACGGCGCGAGCAGGUGCGAAAGCAGGUCAUAGUGAUCCGGUGGUUCUGAAUGGAAGGGCCAUCGCUCAACGGAUAAAAGGUACUCCGGGGAUAACAGGCUGAUACCGCCCAAGAGUUCAUAUCGACGGCGGUGUUUGGCACCUCGAUGUCGGCUCAUCACAUCCUGGGGCUGAAGUAGGUCCCAAGGGUAUGGCUGUUCGCCAUUUAAAGUGGUACGCGAGCUGGGUUUAGAACGUCGUGAGACAGUUCGGUCCCUAUCUGCCGUGGGCGCUGGAGAAUUGAGGGGGGCUGCUCCUAGUACGAGAGGACCGGAGUGGACGCAUCACUGGUGUUCGGGUUGUCAUGCCAAUGGCACUGCCCGGUAGCUAAAUGCGGAAGAGAUAAGUGCUGAAAGCAUCUAAGCACGAAACUUGCCCCGAGAUGAGUUCUCCCUGAGACUUUAAGUCUCCUGAAGGAACGUUAAAGACGAUGACGUUGAUAGGCCGGGUGUGUAAGCGCAGCGAUGCGUUGAGCUAACCGAUACUAAUGAACCGUGAGGCUUAACCUUACAACGCCGAAG
RNAcentral lists this ribosomal RNA (2923 nucleotides) under Klebsiella pneumoniae. RNAcentral's name for it is "23S ribosomal RNA". It matches the Rfam family "Bacterial large subunit ribosomal RNA". Lineage: Bacteria; Pseudomonadati; Pseudomonadota; Gammaproteobacteria; Enterobacterales; Enterobacteriaceae. The record is from RNAcentral.